UGCUCUUUACAUAAGAAAGUGA
Molecule: microRNA, 22 nt
Filed under: Brugia malayi
Lineage: Eukaryota; Metazoa; Nematoda; Chromadorea; Rhabditida; Onchocercidae
Description: bma-miR-9502
Source: miRBase by way of RNAcentral